Molecule: unclassified non-coding RNA, 625 nt
Filed under: synthetic construct
Rfam family: Picornavirus internal ribosome entry site (IRES) (bases 387-625)
Source: RNAcentral
AAAACAGCUCUGGGGUUGUACCCACCCCAGAGGCCCACGUGGCGGCUAGUACUCCGGUAUUGCGGUACCCUUGUACGCCUGUUUUAUACUCCCUUCCCGUAACUUAGACGCACAAAACCAAGUUCAAUAGAAGGGGGUACAAACCAGUACCACCACGAACAAGCACUUCUGUUUCCCCGGUGAUGUCGUAUAGACUGCUUGCGUGGUUGAAAGCGACGGAUCCGUUAUCCGCUUAUGUACUUCGAGAAGCCCAGUACCACCUCGGAAUCUUCAAUGCGUUGCGCUCAGCACUCAACCCCAGAGUGUAGCUUAGGCUGAUGAGUCUGGACAUCCCUCACCGGUGACGGUGGUCCAGGCUGCGUUGGCGGCCUACCUAUGGCUAACGCCAUGGGACGCUAGUUGUGAACAAGGUGUGAAGAGCCUAUUGAGCUACAUAAGAAUCCUCCGGCCCCUGAAUGCGGCUAAUCCCAACCUCGGAGCAGGUGGUCACAAACCAGUGAUUGGCCUGUCGUAACGCGCAAGUCCGUGGCGGAACCGACUACUUUGGGUGUCCGUGUUUCCUUUUAUUUUAUUGUGGCUGCUUAUGGUGACAAUCACAGAUUGUUAUCAUAAAGCGAAUUGGAUU